Molecule: ribosomal RNA, 1819 nt
Filed under: Sphyraena japonica (Japanese barracuda)
Lineage: Eukaryota; Metazoa; Chordata; Actinopteri; Sphyraenidae
Description: 16S rRNA
Rfam family: Bacterial large subunit ribosomal RNA
Source: RNAcentral
AGCUAAUUAGCUAGCCCCACCCACACAAACAACAAGCCACCAUAAAUAACCCCUAACGCACCUGCAAAUGAUUAAGCCAAACCAUUUUUCCCCUUGAGUACGGGAGACGGAAAAAGAGCACCGGAGCAAUAGAGAAAGUACCGUAAGGGAACGCUGAAAGAGAUAUGAUAUAGACCAGUUAAGCUUGAGACAGCAGAGAUUAAACCUCGUACCUUUUGCAUCAUGAUUUAGCCAGUACCCCCAAGCAAAGAGCGCUUUAGUUUGUCACCCCGAAACUAAGGGAGCUACUCCAAGACAGCCUAUUUAUAGGGCAAACCCGUCUCUGUUGCAAAAGAGUGGGAAGAGCUUUGAGUAGAGGUGAUAGACCUACCGAACUUAGUUAUAGCUGGUUGCCUGAGAAAUGAAUAGUAGUUCAGCCUCCUGGAUUCUCCACUCAACACUGCAACAGUGCUUUUAUAGACUCCGAGAAUGCCAAGAGAGUCAGUCACAGGGGGUUCAGCCCCUUUGACCCAAGACACAGCUUUUUUAGGAGAGUAAAGAUCAUAAUAAACCAAAGAGAUGUGUCCCAGUGGGCCUGAAAGCAGCCAUCCUCACAGAAAGCGUCAAAGCUUAAACACUUAUUCUAAAUCUCUAACAAUUCAGAUAAUCAGAUCUAACCCCCCUAACCCUAUCAGGCCCUCCUAUGCCCCCAUAGGAGCGAUAAUGCUAAUAUGAGUAAUAAGAAGGACACCCCUUCUCCUAGCACACGUGUAUAUCGGAACGAACCCGCACCGAACAUUAACGGCCCCAAUGAAAGAGGGAACUGAAUAAUUAACCAGACGGACCAGAAAACCCUUCACCGCACCACCGUUGACCCUACACUGGUGUGCUCAUUAGGAAAGACCUAAAGAGGGAGAAGGAAUUCAGCAAACACUUUGCCUCGCCUGUUUACCAAAAACAUCGCCUCUUGUUUUUCCCAUAUAAGAGGUCUCGCCUGCCCACUGACUAUAUGUUCAACGGCCGCGGUAUCUUGACCGUGCGAAGGUAGCGUAAUCAUUUGUCUUUUAAAUGAAGACCAGUAUGAAAGGCACCACGAGGGCUCGACUGUCUCCUCUCUCAAGUCAAUGAAAUUGAUCUUCCCGUGCAGAAGCGGGAAUAUACCCAUAAGACGAGAAGACCCUAUGGAGCUUUAGACUAUGAGGUGGACCAUGUUAAUUACGCCAAUAUAAAGCACUGAACUUAAUGAAGACCACCACAAUGUCUUGGGUUGGGGUGACCAUGGAGCAAUAAAAAGCCUCCAAGCGGAACGGGAGCAUUAUCCUCGUGUCUUUCAUCGUCACUUCAGUCUCGCUACUCCUAAAGCUGAGGGCUACAGCCCUAAUAAACAGAACUUCUGACCUAAAUUGAUCCGGCAACGCCGAUUAACGAACCAAGUUACCCUAGGGAUAACAGCGCAAUCCCCUUCUAGAGCCCCUAUCGACAAGGGGGUUUACGACCUCGAUGUUGGAUCAGGACAUCCUAAUGGUGCAGCCGCUAUUAAGGGUUCGUUUGUUCAACGAUUAAAGCCCUACGUGAUCUGAGUUCAGACCGGAGUAAUCCAGGUCAGUUUCUAUCUAUGACAUGGCCUUUUCUAGUACGAAAGGACCGAAAAGGGGGGGCCUAUAGCAAUAGCCAAGCCCCAUCCUCAUCUUAUGAAAGCAUCUAAAUCAGCUUAGAGGACAUACAAUCAUUUACGCCUAGAUAAUGGCACGCUGAAAUAAUGAUGACUAAAGAUUAGAUUCUUUCUAAAGGAAUAAAAUCCUUCUCAGCUAAGUUGGGGCAGUAAGGGCAACAGCUAAAU